UCCUACGGGAGGCAGCAGUGAGGAAUAUUGGGCAAUGGGCGCAAGCCUGACCCAGCCAUGCCGCGUGCAGGAUGACGGCGCUAUGCGUUGUAAACUGCUUUUGUUUAGGAAGAAACCCAUCUACGUGUAGGUGGUUGACGGUACUGAAUGAAUAAGCAUCGGCUAACUCCGUGCCAGCAGCCGCGGUAAUACGGAGGAUGCAAGCGUUAUCCGGAUUCAUUGGGUUUAAAGGGUGCGUAGGCGGAGUACUAAGUCAGCGAUGAAAUCCUGCAGCUUAACUGUAGAACUGUCAUUGAUACUGGUAUUCUUGAAUGCAGUUGAGGUAGGCGGAAUGUGUAAUGUAGCGGUGAAAUGCUUAGAUAUUACACAGAACACCGAUUGCGAAGGCAGCUUACUAAACUGUGAUUGACGCUGAGGCACGAAAGCGUGGGGAGCAAACAGGAUUAGAUACCCUGGUAGUCCACGCCGUAAACUAUGAUUACUCGCUGUUGGCGAUACAUUGUCAGCGGCUGAGCGAAAGCAUUAAGUAAUCCACCUGGGGAGUACGAUCGCAAGGUUGAAACUCAAAGGAAUUGACGGGGGCCCGCACAAGCGGAGGAACAUGUGGUUUAAUUCGAUGAUACGCGAGGAACCUUACCUGGGCUUAAAUGUAGAGCGACAGACUGGGAAACUGGUCCUUCUUCGGACGAUCUACAAGGUGCUGCAUGGUUGUCGUCAGCUCGUGCCGUGAGGUGUCGGGUUAAGUCCCAUAACGAGCGCAACCCUUAUCGUUAGUUGCCAGCGGGUAAUGCCGGGGACUCUAGCGAAACUGCCGGUGUAAACCGUGAGGAAGGUGGGGAUGACGUCAAAUCAGCACGGCCCUUAUGUCCAGGGCUUCACACGUCAUACAAUGGUCGGUCCAGAGGGUUGCCAACCCGCGAGGGGGAGCUAAUCUCAGAAAGCCGAUCGUAGUCCGGAUUGCAGUCUGCAACUCGACUGCAUGAAGUCGGAAUCGCUAGUAAUCGCGGAUCAGCAUGUCGCGGUGAAUACGUUCCCGGGCCUUGUACACACCGCCAU
This 1056-nucleotide ribosomal RNA is filed under the name uncultured bacterium. RNAcentral's name for it is "bacterial SSU rRNA". It matches the Rfam family "Bacterial small subunit ribosomal RNA", at positions 337 to 1396 of the family's 1533-position model. The record is from RNAcentral.